UACGUAGGGGGCAAGCGUUGUCCGGAUUCAUUGGGCGUAAAGCGCGUGUAGGCGGCUAAGUAAGUCGGGCGUGAAAUCCCACGGCUCAACCGUGGAAGUGCACUCGAAACUGCAUAGCUAGAGUCCUGGAGAGGAAGGUGGAAUGCUUGGUGUAGAGGUGAAAUUCGUAGAUAUCAAGCGGAACACCGGUGGCGAAGGCGGCCUUCUGGACAGUGACUGACGCUGAGACGCGAAAGCGUGGGGAGCAAACAGG
RNAcentral lists this ribosomal RNA (253 nucleotides) under uncultured bacterium. RNAcentral describes it as "partial 16S ribosomal RNA". It matches the Rfam family "Bacterial small subunit ribosomal RNA", at positions 524 to 776 of the family's 1533-position model. The record is from RNAcentral.